GACAGAGGGUGCAAACGUUGCUCGGAAUCACUGGGCGUAAAGGGCGUGUAGGCGGGAGAGAAAGUCGGGCGUGAAAUCCCUAGGCUCAACCUAGGAACUGCACUCGAAACUUCCCUUCUUGAGUGCCGGAGAGGAAAGCGGAAUACCUGGUGUAGAGGUGAAAUUCGUAGAUAUCAGGUGGAACACCAGUGGCGAAGGCGGCUUUCUGGACGGUAACUGACGCUGAGACGCGAAAGCGUGGGGAGCAAACAGG
RNAcentral lists this ribosomal RNA (253 nucleotides) under uncultured bacterium. RNAcentral's name for it is "partial 16S ribosomal RNA". It matches the Rfam family "Bacterial small subunit ribosomal RNA", at positions 524 to 776 of the family's 1533-position model. The record is from RNAcentral.